RNAcentral lists this ribosomal RNA (253 nucleotides) under uncultured bacterium. Its description in RNAcentral is "partial 16S ribosomal RNA". It matches the Rfam family "Bacterial small subunit ribosomal RNA", at positions 524 to 776 of the family's 1533-position model. The record is from RNAcentral.
GACGGAGGAUGCAAGCGUUAUCCGGAAUUAUUGGGCGUAAAGCGUUCGCAGGUGGCUGUUCAAGUCUGCUGUCAAAGACCGGGGCUUAACCCCAGAAAGGCAGUGGAAACUGAACGGCUGGAGUGCAGUAGGGGUAGAGGGAAUUCCCAGUGUAGCGGUGAAAUGCGUAGAGAUUGGGAAGAACACCGGUGGCGAAAGCGCUCUGCUGGACUGCAACUAACACUGAGGCACGAAAGCUAGGGGAGCGAAAGGG